This 18-nucleotide unclassified non-coding RNA is filed under the name Chlamydomonas reinhardtii. Its description in RNAcentral is "small RNA Cre_3059". Lineage: Eukaryota; Viridiplantae; Chlorophyta; Chlorophyceae; Chlamydomonadales; Chlamydomonadaceae. The record is from RNAcentral.
UGCCGACCGGCACGGGCG